RNAcentral lists this long non-coding RNA (345 nucleotides) under Physcomitrium patens. RNAcentral's name for it is "long non-coding RNA (PPAT_LNC005486)". Lineage: Eukaryota; Viridiplantae; Streptophyta; Bryopsida; Funariales; Funariaceae. The record is from RNAcentral.
AACAACAAGGUUUGUCAAAUGCACUCUCUAGACGAUCUUAGCUUGCACCAAAGGAAGGAGAUGCUGCUUUUGAUCAAUAAUAGAUAGUUUUCUUGAAGCCAGAGCAUCUUCAUCUUCGAGCAAUGAAAUCAACACUAAUUAUUGAUUCAACUUUCAUUAAGCAAGUUCAAUCAAGUAUGUCUUCUGAUCCUCUUAUUUAUGAUAUUAAGAAAAAUCCUUCAAAGUCUUAUAAUACUUCCAAGUUUGAAUUCAAGAACAAUCUACUAUAUUUUGAGGCAUGCCUAUAUAUUUCAAAAGGUAAAGCUCGAUUACGUGUUCUUCAAGCUCAUCAUGACUUUUCAGCAG